This 114-nucleotide ribosomal RNA is filed under the name Lepisosteus oculatus (spotted gar). Lineage: Eukaryota; Metazoa; Chordata; Actinopteri; Semionotiformes; Lepisosteidae. The record is from RNAcentral.
GCCAGCAGCCAUAUCACCCUGCAGCUCUCAAGUGGGUACCCACUGAAGCUAAGCAGGGUUGAGGGUCUGUACCUGGAUGGGAGUCCUCCUGGUAAGCUAUGGAUGCUGCUGGAA